GGAGCCUGGAGACAGGUGCUGCAUGGCUGUCGUCAGCUCGUGUCGUGAGAUGUUGGUUAAGUCCCGCAACGAGCGCAACCCCUAUCUUUAGUUGCCAUCAUUGAGUUGGGCACUCUAAAGAGACUGCCGGUGUCAAACCGGAGGAAGGUGGGGAUGACGUCAAGUCCUCAUGGCCUUUAUGACCAGGGCUACACACGUACUACAAUGGCCGGUACAAAGGGCAGCGACACAGCGAUGUGAAGCCAAUCCCGAAAAGCCGGUCUCAGUCCGGAUUGGAGUCUGCAACUCGACUCCAUGAAGUUGGAAUCGCUAGUAAUCGCGGAUCAGCACGCCGCGGUGAAUACGUUCCCGGGUCUU
Molecule: ribosomal RNA, 357 nt
Filed under: uncultured Desulfocapsa sp.
Lineage: Bacteria; Pseudomonadati; Thermodesulfobacteriota; Desulfobulbia; Desulfobulbales; Desulfocapsaceae
Description: bacterial SSU rRNA
Rfam family: Bacterial small subunit ribosomal RNA
Source: RNAcentral